Molecule: ribosomal RNA, 412 nt
Filed under: Glomus arbuscular mycorrhizal symbiont of Voyria tenuiflora
Lineage: Eukaryota; Fungi; Glomeromycota; Glomeromycetes; Glomerales; Glomeraceae
Description: SSU rRNA
Rfam family: Eukaryotic small subunit ribosomal RNA
Source: RNAcentral
GCAGUUAAAAAGCUCGUAGUUGAAUUUCGGGGUCAUCAAGUUGGUCGUGCCACUGGUAUGCACUGGCUUUGCUGAUUCCUCCUUCUUGAAAGAACUGUAAUGCUAUUAAUUUAGUGUUGCAGGGAAACAGGACUGUUACUUUGAAAAAUUAGAGUGUUUAAAGCAGGCUAACGCUUGAAUACAUUAGCAUGGAAUAAUGAAAUAGGACGUUUGAUCCUAUUUUGUUGGUUUCUAGGAUUGACGUAAUGAUUAAUAGGGAUAGUUGGGGGCAUUAGUAUUCAAUUGUCAGAGGUGAAAUUCUUGGAUUUAUUGAAGACUAACUACUGCGAAAGCAUUUGCCAAGGAUGUUUUCAUUAAUCAAGAACGAAAGUUAGGGGAUCGAAGACGAUCAGAUACCGUCGUAGUCUUAACC